UGGGGAAUUUUGGACAAUGGGCGAAAGCCUGAUCCAGCAAUGCCGCGUGCAGGAUGAAGGCCCUCGGGUUGUAAACUGCUUUUGUACGGAACGAAAAGCCUGGGGCUAAUACCUCGGGGGGAUGACGGUACCUGAAGAAUAAGCACCGGCUAACUACGUGCCAGCAGCCGCGGUAAUACGUAGGGUGCAAGCGUUAAUCGGAAUUACUGGGCGUAAAGCGUGCGCAGGCGGUUAUGCAAGACAGAGGUGAAAUCCCCGGGCUCAACCUGGGAACUGCCUUUGUGACUGCAUAGCUAGAGUACGGUAGAGGGGGAUGGAAUUCCGCGUGUAGCAGUGAAAUGCGUGGAUAUGCGGAGGAACACCGAUGGCGAAGGCAAUCCCCUGGACCUGUACUGACGCUCAUGCACGAAAGCGUGGGGAGCAAACA
Molecule: ribosomal RNA, 427 nt
Filed under: uncultured bacterium
Lineage: Bacteria
Description: bacterial SSU rRNA
Rfam family: Bacterial small subunit ribosomal RNA
Source: RNAcentral